Erinaceus europaeus (western European hedgehog) is the source of this 866-nucleotide long non-coding RNA. RefSeq lists it as uncharacterized. Lineage: Eukaryota; Metazoa; Chordata; Mammalia; Eulipotyphla; Erinaceidae. The record is from RefSeq and is a predicted model, not a curated record. The transcript is spliced from 3 exons.
UGAAGGCCCCUCUGCUGCGUCCUGCCUGUCUGUGCUCCUGGGACCAGCUCUGCCAGCCCCUGCUGCCUGGACAGAUGGGCUGGGAAGCCCCUUAGAGGCGCCAGGGCACCUGGGCUUCUGGACCCGGGUCCUCACAGCGCUGCCGUCCUGAGUGCUGGGCACCGGCAUCCCACUCCCAGUCUCUGGCCGUCCUGAGUGAGGGACACCUGCAUCCCACGCCCAGUCUCUGGCCGUCCUGAGUGCUGGGCACCGGCAUCCCACUCCCAGUCUCUGGCCGUCCUGAGUGAGGGGCACCGGCAUCCCACUCCCCAGUCUCUGGCCGUCCUGAGUGAGGGGCACCGCAUCCCACUCCCAGUCUCUGGCCGUCCUGAGUGAGGGACACCUGCAUCCCACUCCCAGUCUCUGGUCGUCCUGAGUGCUGGGCACCGGCAUCCCACUCCCAGUCUCUGGCUGUCCUGAGUGAGGGGCACCGCAUCCCACUCCCAGUCUCUGGCCGUCCUGAGUGAGGGACACCGGCAUCCCACUCCCAGUCUCUGGCCGUCCUGAGUGAGGGGCACCGGCAUCCCACUCCCCAUCUCUGGCCGUCCUGAGUGAGGGGCACCGGCAUCCCACUCCCCAGUCUCUGGCCGUCCUGAGUGAGGGGCACCGCAUCCCACUCCCCGUCUCUGGCCGUCCUGAGUGAGGGACACCGGCAUCCCACUCCCAGUCUCUGGCCGUCCUGAGUGAGGGGCACCGCAUCCCACUCCCAGUCUCUGGCCGUCCUGAGUGAGGGGCACCGGCAUCCCACUCCCCAUCUCUGGCUGUCCUGAGUGAGGGACACCGGCAUCCCACUCCCAGUCUCUGGCCGUCCUGAGUGAGGGGCACCG